Pelobates cultripes (western spadefoot toad) is the source of this 336-nucleotide non-coding RNA. NCBI's taxonomy places the organism in Eukaryota, Metazoa, Chordata, Amphibia, Anura, Pelobatidae. The record is from the annotation of a GenBank genome assembly.
UCUGUAUGUAUGUAUGUCUGCAUGUCAUUAUGAAUGUGUGUAUGUCUGUCUGUCUGUAUGAAUGUAUGUAUGCCAGUAUGAAUGUCUGUCUGUAUGUCAUUAUGAAUGUGUCUGUAUGUCCUUAUGUAUGUGUCUGUCACUAUGUACGCCUGUGUAUCUGUAUAUGUGUGAAUGUCUCAGUAUGUGUGUGUCAGUAUGUAUGCCUAUAUGUGUAUCAGUAUGUGUGUCUGUUAGUCUGUAUCAGUGUGUGUGUGUGUAUCUGUGUCCUUUUGUAUCAGUGAAUCUGUUUGUGUCUGUGUGUGUAUUCCUGUGGGCGGGAUUUAGAGGCGGUCUCUG